This 309-nucleotide unclassified non-coding RNA is filed under the name plant metagenome. RNAcentral's name for it is "partial contains 5.8S ribosomal RNA, internal transcribed spacer 2, and large subunit ribosomal RNA". The stretch from base 1 to 105 matches the Rfam family "5.8S ribosomal RNA", at positions 50 to 154 of the family's 154-position model. The record is from RNAcentral.
GAAAUGCGAUAAGUAAUGUGAAUUGCAGAAUUCAGUGAAUCAUCGAAUCUAUGAACGCACAUUGCGCCCGCCAGUAUUCUGGCGGGCAUGCCUGUUCGAGCGUCAUUUCAACCAUCAAGCCCCCGGGCUUGUGUUGGGGACCUGCGGCUGCCGCAGGCCCCGAAAACCAGUGGCGGGCUCGCUGUCACACCGGGCGUAGUAGAUUUUUCGUCUCGCCCAGGGCGUGCUGCGGGUUCCGGCCGUUAAAAAGCCUCUCUUUUAACCCAAGGUUGACCUCGGAUCAGGUAGGAAGACCCGCUGAACUUAAGC